RNAcentral lists this long non-coding RNA (762 nucleotides) under Homo sapiens (human). RNAcentral describes it as "HSALNT0329234". Lineage: Eukaryota; Metazoa; Chordata; Mammalia; Primates; Hominidae. The record is from RNAcentral.
UGAAUGCACCAUGGAAAACUCCCCAAAUGCAAAGGAAAUUAAAGGGGCUCCCUACUCUUUGUCUAUGGAUGAAGUUAUGGACAUUCUGAACCAAAUCCACCUCUUCUACUUAUUCAAAUUUUGUUCACCGUGAGGCCUCUAUAAGGAAAGAUGGAUUAAAGAAAAGGAUAGACUUAUUUAACACACGUUUUAUGUGACACGGGAACCUUCAUACGGAAAUGAAGACCUGAAGAAACAGGUUAAAACAAUGAAAAGAAAGCAACUAUUCUGUUGGACUGAACAAUUUAUUUGAAACUUUGACUUCACAAAGACUCAAGUAGCAUUCUUUCAUUUGUUUCAUGGUGUUAGUUGGUUUAACCUUUUUUGACUUGUCCGAGCACAGUGAAUUCACUGCCCACGGGGAGUUUGCUGACCAUCUGCUCUAUGUCAUGUAGAAAAGCCACAGGGCCUUUCUUCCUUUCCUGGUGUCCGUAGUUCCAGAAGGAUUUAGUCAAGAUAAAAUUGCCUCCCAUCUUGAGUUGAUGUGUUUGAAUGUAAGAGUUACCUUUGGAGGGGAAAAGAAAUAACUUUUUUUUUUUUAAUCUAUCAUUAAGUUCAUGGCUUGGGCCCUAAUAACAAAGGACAGAUUAACAAGAGAAAAGCAUACACAUUUAUUUAAUAUAAGUUUUAUGUGACAUGAGAGCAUUCAUAAAGAAAUGAAGGCCUAAAGAAAUAGAGAAACUUGGAGAUUUUUAUGCUGAGGUUUGAUUAAGUGUGAUUGGA